This 230-nucleotide ribosomal RNA is filed under the name uncultured bacterium. Its description in RNAcentral is "partial 16S ribosomal RNA". It matches the Rfam family "Bacterial small subunit ribosomal RNA", at positions 562 to 791 of the family's 1533-position model. The record is from RNAcentral.
AAGGGGUCCUGAGGUGGUUUGCCCAGUCUACUGUGAAAGAUCAGGGCUCAACCCUGAAAAUGCGGUGGAAACUAGCAGGCUAGAAUACGGUAGGGGCAGGGGGAAUUCCCGGUGUAGCGGUGAAAUGCAUAGAUAUCGGGAAGAACACCAAUGGCGAAAGCACCCUGCUGGGCCGAUAUUGACACUGACAGACGAAAGCUAGGGGAGCAAAUGGGAUUAGAUACCCCAGU